This 381-nucleotide unclassified non-coding RNA is filed under the name uncultured fungus. RNAcentral's name for it is "partial contains small subunit ribosomal RNA, internal transcribed spacer 1, and 5.8S ribosomal RNA". The stretch from base 1 to 73 matches the Rfam family "Eukaryotic small subunit ribosomal RNA", at positions 1759 to 1831 of the family's 1831-position model. The record is from RNAcentral. Lineage: Eukaryota; Fungi.
GCAAACUUGGUCAUUUAGAGGAAGUAAAAGUCGUAACAAGGUUUCCGUAGGUGAACCUGCGGAAGGAUCAUUGACGAAUUUGUUCAAGGCGAGACUCUCGGCUGUGCUGGCCCCUCAAUUGGGGAGCAAUGUGCACGUCGGUGCCUCGUCCAUCUCACACACACACACCUCUUGUGCACCGACGGAGGGAUUUGGACAAGUCGUAGGGUUUUGCAGUUGGGCCCCCCUUUGGGGGUCCUCGGCUCUACCUGGGGACCCAAGCCCCGAUCCCCUCCUCCCUUCACACACACCACAUGUCAGGUCGUGCAUGCUUGUAAUAGUUACAUUAACACAACUUUCAACAACGGAUCUCUUGGCUCUCGCAUCGAUGAAGAACGCAGC